GUGUUCUCUUGGGCAGCACAUAAUACUAAAACAUUGGAACAAUAUGAAAAAGGUUAGCAUGGCCCCUAUGUAAGAAUGACACACAAAUUUGUAACAAGUUGCAUAUUUUA
RNAcentral lists this small nuclear RNA (110 nucleotides) under Aotus nancymaae (Ma's night monkey). Lineage: Eukaryota; Metazoa; Chordata; Mammalia; Primates; Aotidae. The record is from RNAcentral.